Peromyscus leucopus (white-footed mouse) is the source of this 1661-nucleotide long non-coding RNA. RefSeq lists it as uncharacterized. The record is from RefSeq and is a predicted model, not a curated record. The transcript has 7 exons. NCBI's taxonomy places the organism in Eukaryota, Metazoa, Chordata, Mammalia, Rodentia, Cricetidae.
GCUCCCCACCAUGAGGAUAAUGGACUAAACCUCAGAAACUUUCUAGGGAUCUGUCCCAGGAGCUGGCCCAUGCUAAGAAGUGAGUCACAAACCCAGGAUUCUGACACUAGGAAGGAGAUUCUUCCUUCACUUUCUUCCAUGGAGUCCCCUGACCCAUGGAGCGGAUGACAUGCAUGUCUCAUUUAAGGCUUGGAUUAACAAUCACAUGUUCUCAACACUUUGGCCAGCCCUAACCUGAAGAAGAAGAAGAAGAAGAAGAGGAGGAGGAGGAGAGGAGGAGGAGGAGGAGGAGGGGACCUGCCUAUCACCUUACCAGGAAUCUUGACUGAAAAGCACUAAACAAAAUGUCCUGUGAAGGAAGGAGCAUGUAUGAAGUUAAAUGGAGUCUCCAAGAGUGGGUCAAGCUUCUGUCCUGAUUGUUUGCCCUGGAAUGUUCAUUGAGAUUAAGAGCGAAGAGAAAGAUAUUGAAUUGGACAAGCACAGACACUUGUUCUCAGCCAUAUGAGGAAGGUGAAAACUGAUUUCAUAGAAGGGGGCACCCCACAGAAAGAACCUACCUCACACAGGAGGAGAUGAAGGAGUGUUUCUCCAGACAGAGACCAAAUAUCUUGAUUCAGCUGAGCCUAGAGGAUCAGCCAACUGCCUCAAGAAAGUGGACUCGGCAACUAAGAGCUGAGGACCGAACCCAGGGCAAGUGCUCUACCACUGAGCUAAAUCCCCAACCCCUUCUCAUUUCCUUUUGUAAUGGUAAUGUAUAUUCUGUGCCACCGUAUGGUAGAAGUGUAUACUUUGCCCUUUUAUUUUACAUUGGGUUACAUUUAAGAAAUCCUGUAGUUCUGUGUCUGAUAUCAAAUGGCUUAGAUGGAUCCAUUUUUCCAUAUUUGCUGCCUACAACAUUCUUCUCUUUCUUGGUCUUGUUCCAUUCCCUAUCGGCAGCUCUCCUUUGUAGAUAUCCCACUGCUCUGGUACCUCUAACAUCUUCUUCAUACAAUGGCCUCUCAGGGCCUCCAUGAUGGGACUCUCCUGCCAUAUUACUGGCCUCAAUUGCUCUCCUUAACUUAGGAAUAUUCCAAAACCCUUUUAUUCGUGUAUCCUUCAUGAUUCUAAAGCCAGAACCACAUAGACAGCAUUGCUGAGUUUGACUGCCAACUUUGGAGUGAACCCUGGCACCCUUGAAUCACAUUCAUAGCAGGUUUGAUUAGUGUUACAUUUUAGGGCCAGGAAAUUCCUUGUUUCUUUCCACAAGUUGGAAGCUUAGCUGGGUGUGCUCUUGCUUUGAGGGAACCCUCCCUUUAUUCCUUUUCAUACCAGGCUUCUCAUUAAUUGUAUCUCUUUCAGCACAAGCCUUGGCCCCAACAUUAAAUUUUCUGGUGUUCCUUUUCACUUCAAACCACAUUUUGUAUUUCUUUUUGCUCCACUUUUUCUCUUUCUUUGUAGACCUGCAAUAUUAGGCUAUCUUGAAAUCUUCUCUAAUAAAGAAAUUAGUCCAUUACUUUUCAAUUUAGCCUCUGGCAACUUCUUAGGACAAGGGCAAUAGGCAGCCAAUAUAUCACAAAAUUCUCUCUAGCCAAGUUAUUAGUGUUGUUUCCUGUAGCUAGAGUUUUCCUGCCUUGCCCACAGUCAGGACAAAUCUUUGUUACCCGCCAGUCCCACAGCCGCUC